Long non-coding RNA from Artibeus jamaicensis (Jamaican fruit-eating bat), 687 nucleotides. RefSeq lists it as uncharacterized. The record is from RefSeq and is a predicted model, not a curated record. NCBI's taxonomy places the organism in Eukaryota, Metazoa, Chordata, Mammalia, Chiroptera, Phyllostomidae. The transcript has 5 exons.
GUGUAAUUUUGAUGUGAUUGUGUGAAGAGGUGAGCCAUGUCUGCUUACAUCACCGUCUUGACUGGAAGCCUGUACAGUUGCCCUCUCAAGUUCUUCCUACUGACCCGCCUCACCGAGAUUUAGGUCUCCACCUGGACAGUAACUCCCACAGGAAAAGCAUCAACAGGUGACCAGCUGCUCUAUUCUCUAGCCUCUCUCAAGCCAUGUCGAGUUGGAAGGUCACCAACCUCCAGGGAGGAGAAAUUCAAUGGAUUGCUAAUUUGAACUCCAGUUUGUGUGGAGGGAGCAACAGAACUCCACGGAGAUGAGAAGGGUAACCACAUCAUCUACGUCUAAAGUUUCUGGCAAAGAUUUACCUUCUGGAGUAUGUUCACAAAGACAAGAAGUAAAUUGCCCCGAACUUCUGAAAGGAAGAACGUCAUUCUAAAGACAAACAGUCUUCUGUCUGCCACCCAGCUGUGUCUCUCUUCGGUCAGCCUCCUCCCAUGUCUACUGUCCCCUGACUGGUCAGUGCCCCCAGUCAGUGGCUCAGUUCUUGCUGUUUUGUGCUCCUGCCUGUCACGGAAUUCUCAAAUAUGAAGGCACUUUCCUGAACCUGUUCUCAGUGUGGGUUUCUCAGUGGUGACGUGGAGAAUCCUCUCAUCUGUGCUGCCUUCAGCAGCUGAGUAAAUACAUCUGGAAACCUCC